Molecule: ribosomal RNA, 254 nt
Filed under: uncultured bacterium
Lineage: Bacteria
Description: partial 16S ribosomal RNA
Rfam family: Bacterial small subunit ribosomal RNA
Source: RNAcentral
UACGUAGGGUGCGAGCGUUGUCCGGAAUUAUUGGGCGUAAAGAGCUCGUAGGCGGUGUGUCGCGUCGGUCGUGAAAACUUGGGGCUUAACUCUGAGCUUGCGGUCGAUACGGGCAUCACUUGAGUUCGGCAGGGGAGACUGGAAUUCCUGGUGUAGCGGUGAAAUGCGCAGAUAUCAGGAGGAACACCGGUGGCGAAGGCGGGUCUCUGGGCCGUAACUGACGCUGAGGAGCGAAAGCUAGGGGAGCAAACGGG